UCCUCUGGUUCGUGCUCUGUGUGAGAAACAUGGAGUUCCCUAUCAGUGUUAAGACUUUGCAGAAGGCAUGACUGAUGUUGUCAGGUCACUGAAGAAGUCAGGGGAUCUGUGGCUGGAUGCAUAUCAUCAUAAAUAAAUCCCUUCCUGGCUCUGGACGGGAUUUAAAUCCAUCUCAGAWUAACUACCUGUGAACAGAGAGGACAUUUCCUAGAUGUUUGUGUUGAUAAUGAUCGCUGCAAACAUUAUUGUGAUAUAAUUGUUUUAAUCCUUGUCAGCAGUGAAUGGGGAUCCAUAGCAGAAAUAGAGGGUUUAUAUAGUAGGGCCAGGCAUUUAGAAAAAACUAAACACAGUUUUUAUUGACCUAUAUUUCCAGCAUUAUCCACUGGGUUUGAUGCAGGCAGAGAAUCCUAGGAAAUGCUCUGUAAUUGACACAAGUCUCAAUCAUUCCAGUCUGGUUGUCCAUUCGUUUUAACCAGGGGAGGCGCAGCAUACGAAUCUUAAUUUCACUAAGCCUAUUAUUUAGCAGGGAAAACUAUUUGUAGAUUAGUGAUUUUACACCUCGUUUUUCUCAAGCUGAUCGCCUCCAACAGACUCAAUCCCUGAUCACAGGAGGUUAUAUAAAUGGGGCAAUUAGGACACGUAAAGGGGAAAGACUAUGAAUCCAAGCAGAAAAUAUAAGUGCACAAUAAAAAUCUCUAUCGCUUGAAAUUCCACGCUGGGAUGCUCAUUGCAGACUACAAUAUAUUCUGCAAAACCUGCAAUUUAGCGUCACAUUUUAAAUGGAAAGACAGGAUAGACAGGAUAGACAGCCAUCUGAAAUAAUUAUGCCGUCUCAGAAGAAUGCUUCAACCUUGAAACGUUGUGGAGGAUUUAGUGAAACAGUCUCGUCUUUACAUAACAAGACAACAUCAUCAACAACAAUAUUUCACAACGUAUUCGUUGYCUGUUAUCAURUGGKUAUGAUAGGCAUUUUUGUAUCAGAAAAUGUAGAGGGUGAAAUAUAGACUAUUUUCAGAAUACUAAUGRCUYGCCUAUUUUCAUUUMCUAUAGAAAUAACACAAUUGAUMCAUCUCUGGUAAAACGGCAGUAUUUGGASAGAUKAACUUCUCCGCCUCCGCAAGGCGCAUGUAAAAGCGCAGCUACUCGGAGUGAUAUUCUAACACUGUUGAAUAGUUCACUGUCUGUAAAURCACUCUAUCAGCCAGAACAACUUUAACGUCUUCAUCCAGCUCUCAUACAAAAUGUGUGUCGGUGGAUUUGUCCGUUACUAUGGAGAUGCUUUCUGUUGUGUUUUUACCGGACUGCGGCUCCGUUCUUUACAUGUGUGUUAAUGAAUGCGCGCAAUUUGGGAUUGUCAACUUUUUCGAGAGAGAUGUUGGCGCUUGCAAAAGCCAUAUAUAWCCUCAUAAUUUAUUCUAUAGCAAAUUAAAAUGCCUACUUUUUUCUUUGAUGUGUUACAUUUUCUUAGAUUAAAAUACAUAUUAUUMCCAUUAUAAUGUUAAUACCAGGCAAUGAAUAAGUAAAAUAUUUAUGUCGAUAAUGUCCUUAAAAUAAGCUAAUACUGCCGAUGAGAAUAAUUGUUGGCAAUUAUUUCAUUUGAAGUCAAKCCACAUGGUUGGGAAUUGAUUUUGGACUAAUUGGAUAAUUAUGUUAGAUGAUCAUGGUGUGAGAAGGUGCUAUAUCGGCCACUUGAGGUCGUUUUAUCGAAAUGCGGGGUAGGAAAAACAACAACGGAAACGCCUGGCCCUAAUCAUUGGUAUCUAGAUAGACUAUUCCUCCUCAAACGGAAAAAUAUAUUGAUAUAUAUUUUAACAACAUGUAUGUACAUGUAUUUACGUAUAUGUAAAUUACAGAUAUCUAAAUAUAUGUUUACGCCUUAUAUUACAUAUAUUUAAAUAUAUCGACAUAUUACAAAAUUGGCCUUUUUCAUAUGACUACAAAUAUGUUUAUAUMUUUAAAUAUAUGGAAAUACAUUUUGAUAGCGUGCUGUGGUAGCUAGUAAAAUAAUUUCCCAAUUAUAUUUCAUAAAUAUAUGUUGCCAUAUUUUAAUGAAUGGAAAUGUUUGCUUUUUACCUUAUUACUGUAGUUAGGCUACAUUAAAAUCCAAUGCAUAAAACUA
Salvelinus sp. IW2-2015 is the source of this 2119-nucleotide long non-coding RNA. RefSeq lists it as uncharacterized. The record is from RefSeq and is a predicted model, not a curated record. NCBI's taxonomy places the organism in Eukaryota, Metazoa, Chordata, Actinopteri, Salmoniformes, Salmonidae.